CCUACGGGGUGCUGCAGUGGGGAAUAUUGGACAAUGGGCGAAAGCCUGAUCCAGCCAUGCCGCGUGUGUGAAGAAGGCCUUCGGGUUGUAAAGCACUUUCAGUGGGGAAGAAAGCCUUGGGGCUAAUACCCUCGAGGAAGGACAUCACCCACAGAAGAAGCACCGGCUAACUCCGUACCAGCAGCCGCGGUAAUACGGAGGGUGCGAGCGUUAAUCGGAAUUACUGGGCGUAAAGCGCGCGUAGGCGGUCUGAUAAGCCGGUUGUGAAAGCCCCGGGCUCAACCUGGGAACGGCAUCCGGAACUGUCAGGCUAGAGUGCAGGAGAGGAAGGUAGAAUUCCCGGUGUAGCGGUGAAAUGCGUAGAGAUCGGGAGGAAUACCAGUGGCGAAGGCGGCCUUCUGGACUGACACUGACGCUGAGGUGCGAAAGCGUGGGUAGCAAACAGGAUUAGAUACCCCGGUAGUC
This 465-nucleotide ribosomal RNA is filed under the name Vreelandella stevensii. Its description in RNAcentral is "partial 16S ribosomal RNA". It matches the Rfam family "Bacterial small subunit ribosomal RNA", at positions 338 to 795 of the family's 1533-position model. The record is from RNAcentral. Lineage: Bacteria; Pseudomonadati; Pseudomonadota; Gammaproteobacteria; Oceanospirillales; Halomonadaceae.